UCCUGGUUCUGUUGCCAUGGGGUGAAGCAUUUCUUAUGCCUGCCAUUGAAAGAGACAAAGAGAAAUCAAGCAUGGAUGGAACUUGUGAACUGUCCAGAAUCAUAGAAGAAAUUGUUCUACUUCCUUAGGAAACUGUCCUGCUUCCCUAGAUGACAUCAUGACUUGAGAAAUGUAUUUUUCACCUUCCUUUUAAGAAGGAAGAAGAGAAUGGGAUACCUUUGGAAUAAGGGCUAAGCUACUAAUCCAAUCAAAACAGUUUCAAGUACCUUUCUUCUGGAUCUCUCUCAAGGAAGCCAAUCCUGGGUGACUUUUGAACACUCAA
Crotalus tigris (Tiger rattlesnake) is the source of this 322-nucleotide long non-coding RNA. RefSeq lists it as uncharacterized. The record is from RefSeq and is a predicted model, not a curated record. The transcript is spliced from 3 exons. Lineage: Eukaryota; Metazoa; Chordata; Lepidosauria; Squamata; Viperidae.